AACUUUAUAGUCAAAAUAAUGAUUUUAAAUUGCAAAUUUAAAGGUAAUAUCAAUUUUAAAGUUU
RNAcentral lists this transfer RNA (64 nucleotides) under Xuthea yunnanensis. Its description in RNAcentral is "tRNA-Cys". Lineage: Eukaryota; Metazoa; Arthropoda; Insecta; Coleoptera; Chrysomelidae. The record is from RNAcentral.